Poronia punctata is the source of this 129-nucleotide non-coding RNA. The record is from the annotation of a GenBank genome assembly. NCBI's taxonomy places the organism in Eukaryota, Fungi, Ascomycota, Sordariomycetes, Xylariales, Xylariaceae.
GGCUCCUUGGUCUAGAGGUAUGAUUCUCGCUUUGGGUUUAUUCGAAAAAUCCAAACAAUCCAACUCCACUAAAGAAGAGGAGAAGGAAAAGACUGCGAGAGGCCCCGGGUUCGAAUCCCGGAGGAGCCC